RNAcentral lists this non-coding RNA (53 nucleotides) under marine eukaryotic metagenome. The record is from RNAcentral.
UUGAGGAAAGAUUUGAACUGAUUGCAACCUCGUAAAAAAUGCUAAAGCAGUAU